GGUUAAGCGACUAAGCGUACACGGUGGAUGCCCUGGCAGUCAGAGGCGAUGAAGGGCGUGCUAAUCUGCGAUAAGCGCCGGUAAGGUGAUAUGAACCGUUAUAACCGGCGAUACCCGAAUGGGGAAACCCAGUGUGACUCGUCACACUAUCAUUAACUGAAUCCAUAGGUUA
This 172-nucleotide ribosomal RNA is filed under the name Salmonella enterica. Its description in RNAcentral is "partial 23S ribosomal RNA". It matches the Rfam family "Bacterial large subunit ribosomal RNA", at positions 1 to 173 of the family's 2925-position model. Lineage: Bacteria; Pseudomonadati; Pseudomonadota; Gammaproteobacteria; Enterobacterales; Enterobacteriaceae. RNAcentral also lists the same sequence under 1 other name. The record is from RNAcentral.